UACGUAGGGGGCAAGCGUUGUCCGGAAUCAUUGGGCGUAAAGCGCGCGUAGGCGGCCCGGUAAGUCCGCUCUGAAAUCCAGGGCUUAACCCUGGAAAGCGGGUGGAUACUGCCGGGCUUGAAUCCGGAAGAGGCGAGUGGAAUUCCUGGUGUAGCGGUGGAAUGCGCAGAUAUCAGGAAGAACACCAACGGCGAAGGCAGCUCGCUGGGACGGUACUGACGCUGAGAAGCGAAAGCAUGGGGGAGCGAACAGG
This 253-nucleotide ribosomal RNA is filed under the name uncultured bacterium. RNAcentral's name for it is "partial 16S ribosomal RNA". It matches the Rfam family "Bacterial small subunit ribosomal RNA", at positions 524 to 776 of the family's 1533-position model. The record is from RNAcentral.